RNAcentral lists this ribosomal RNA (254 nucleotides) under uncultured bacterium. RNAcentral's name for it is "partial 16S ribosomal RNA". It matches the Rfam family "Bacterial small subunit ribosomal RNA", at positions 524 to 776 of the family's 1533-position model. The record is from RNAcentral.
UACGUAGGGGGCUAGCGUUGUCCGGAUUUAUUGGGCGUAAAGAGCGAUGUAGGCGGCCAGGUAGGUCUGCUGUGAAAACUCGAGGCUCAACCUCGAGACGUCGGCGGAAACCAUCUGGCUAGAGUCCGGAAGAGGAGAGUGGAAUUCCUGGUGUAGCGGUGAAAUGCGCAGAUAUCAGGAAGAACACCCGUGGCGAAGGCGGCUCUCUGGGACGGUACUGACGCUGAGACGCGAAAGCGUGGGGAGCGAACAGG